Molecule: ribosomal RNA, 486 nt
Filed under: uncultured bacterium
Lineage: Bacteria
Description: partial 16S ribosomal RNA
Rfam family: Bacterial small subunit ribosomal RNA
Source: RNAcentral
AUUGAACGCUGGCGACAUGCCUUACACAUGCAAGUCGAACGGCAGCACGGGUGCUUGCACCUGGUGGCGAGUGGCGAACGGGUGAGUAAUACAUCGGAACAUGUCCUGUAGUGGGGGAUAGCCCGGCGAAAGCCGGAUUAAUACCGCAUACGGUCUACGGAUGAAAGCGGGGGACCUUCGGGCCUCGCGCUAUAGGGUUGGCCGAUGGCUGAUUAGCUAGUUGGUGGGGUAAAGGCCUACCAAGGCGACGAUCAGUAGCUGGUCUGAGAGGACGACCAGUCACACUGGGACUGAGACACGGCCCAGACUCCUACGGGAGGCAGCAGUGGGGAAUUUUGGACAAUGGGCGAAAGCCUGAUCCAGCAAUGCCGCGUGUGUGAAGAAGUCCUUCGGGUUGUAAAGCACUUUUGUCCGGAAAGAAAUCCUUGGCCCUAAUACGGUCGGGGGAUGACGGUACCGGAAGAAUAAGCACCGGCUAACUACGUG